Molecule: ribosomal RNA, 377 nt
Filed under: uncultured bacterium
Lineage: Bacteria
Description: bacterial SSU rRNA
Rfam family: Bacterial small subunit ribosomal RNA
Source: RNAcentral
UACGUAGGGUGCAAGCGUUGUCCGGAAUUAUUGGGCGUAAAGAGCUCGUAGGCGGCUUGUCGCGUCUGCUGUGAAAACCCGGGGCUCAACCCCGGGCCUGCAGUGGGUACGGGCAGGCUAGAGUGCGGUAGGGGAGAUUGGAAUUCCUGGUGUAGCGGUGGAAUGCGCAGAUAUCAGGAGGAACACCGAUGGCGAAGGCAGAUCUCUGGGCCGCUACUGACGCUGAGGAGCGAAAGCAUGGGGAGCGAACAGGAUUAGAUACCCUGGUAGUCCAUGCCGUAAACGUUGGGAACUAGAUGUAGGGCCUGUUCCACGGGUUCUGUGUCGUAGCUAACGCAUUAAGUUCCCCGCCUGGGGAGUACGGCCGCAAGGCUAAA